GAUCGAUCGCCAUGGAUGCAUCAAUGUACACCAUCUUCUUGAUCUUUUAAUCUUUUCUUCUUCUUUUACUAUCUUUUCACUAGUAAGUAAAAGUAGACUGUAGCAGCUAGCAGAUCGACCAAAUGUAUGAUAUUUCAGAGGAGGAGAUCAGCAGCAAUACUAUAUUCAUCUCUUUGUUUUUUUUUUAUCUCGAUUGGAAGAUGAGUUUCAUGAGUGGUAGUUGAGUUGAUCAUGUAUACUCCUAUAGUAGCCAAAACCCAAAAAAGUGUACGAGGCUUAAUUAGAUUAUGGUUUGUUUCCCC
RNAcentral lists this small RNA (302 nucleotides) under Oryza sativa Japonica Group (Japanese rice). Its description in RNAcentral is "sRNA Os01g0119050". The record is from RNAcentral. Lineage: Eukaryota; Viridiplantae; Streptophyta; Magnoliopsida; Poales; Poaceae.